CCUACGGGUGGCAGCAGUGAGGAAUAUUGGUCAAUGGGCGCGAGCCUGAACCAGCCAAGUAGCGUGAAGGAUGACUGCCCUACGGGUUGUAAACUUCUUUUUUAAAGGAAUAAAGUGAGGCACGUGUGCCUGUUCUUAUGUACUUUAUGAAUAAGGCUCGGCUAACUCCGUGCCAGCAGCCGCGGUAAUACGGAGGAUCCGCGCGUUAUCCGGAUUUAUUGGGUUUAAAGGGAGCGUAGAUGGGUUGUUAAGUCAGUCGUGAAAUUGUGCGGCUCAACCGUAGAAUUGCAAUUUAUACUGGCGGUGUUGAGUACGGUUGAGGUAGGCGGAAUUCGUGGUGUAGCGGUGAAAUGCUUAGAUAUCACGAAGAACUCCGAUUGCGAAGGCAGCUUACUAAACUGCCACUGACAUUGAUGCUCGAAAGUGUGGGUAGCAAACAGGAUUAGAUACCCUGGUAGUC
Molecule: ribosomal RNA, 460 nt
Filed under: uncultured bacterium
Lineage: Bacteria
Description: partial 16S ribosomal RNA
Rfam family: Bacterial small subunit ribosomal RNA
Source: RNAcentral